UACGUAGGGUGCGAGCGUUGUCCGGAAUUAUUGGGCGUAAAGAGCUUGUAGGCGGUCUGUCGCGUCUGCUGUGAAAAUCCGGGGCUCAACCCCGGACUUGCAGUGGGUACGGGCAGACUAGAGUGUGGUAGGGGAGACUGGAAUUCCUGGUGUAGCGGUGAAAUGCGCAGAUAUCAGGAGGAACACCGAUGGCGAAGGCAGGUCUCUGGGCCACUACUGACGCUGAGAAGCGAAAGCAUGGGGAGCGAGCAGG
RNAcentral lists this ribosomal RNA (253 nucleotides) under uncultured bacterium. RNAcentral describes it as "partial 16S ribosomal RNA". It matches the Rfam family "Bacterial small subunit ribosomal RNA", at positions 524 to 776 of the family's 1533-position model. The record is from RNAcentral.